GCAACACAGAAGUACAUAACAAAGAAAAGGCCAAAGAAGACUUCCAGGAACAAAAAGUAGAAAAGAAGGGUGGAAAGGAAACACACAGGGAAGAAAGCCUUAGAUAAUGAAAUGGAAUAAGAUGGGGUGAUCUCCUCAAAUAAAUUUGAAGCUUUAGGGGAUAAAGAAAAAGAUGGGAAAGCAAUACACGAAUAAUCCACAAAUGAGCAGCAAUAAUGGACUAAAGAGUGGGUGGAGGAAACUUGCGGAUUGAGCACUCCAAAG
RNAcentral lists this long non-coding RNA (264 nucleotides) under Solanum tuberosum (potato). Its description in RNAcentral is "long non-coding RNA (STUB_LNC011303)". Lineage: Eukaryota; Viridiplantae; Streptophyta; Magnoliopsida; Solanales; Solanaceae. The record is from RNAcentral.